CGUGUGGUUAAUUCGAUGUUACACGAAGAACCUUACCAGGGUUUGACAUGCAAGUGGUAGGAAGCCGAAAGGUGACCGACCUUCGGGGAGCUUGCACAGGUGCUGCAUGGCUGUCGUCAGCUCGUGUCGUGAGAUGUUCGGUUAAGUCCGCUAACGAGCGCAACCCUCGCUGUGUGUUAUAUGUGUCACACGGGACUGCCGGUCUUAAAGCCGGAGGAAGGUGGGGAUGACGUCAAAUCAUCAUGCCCCUUAUGUUCUGGGCUACACACGUGCUACAAUGGCCGGUACAGACGGAGGCGAAGCCGCGAGGCGGAGCAAAACCGAAAAAGCCGGUCUCAGUUCGGAUUGCAGGCUGCAAUUCGCCUGCAUGAAGUCGGAAUCGCUAGUAAUCGCAGGUCAGCAUACUGCGGUGAAUACGUUCCCGGGCCUU
Molecule: ribosomal RNA, 430 nt
Filed under: uncultured Longilinea sp.
Lineage: Bacteria; Bacillati; Chloroflexota; Anaerolineae; Anaerolineales; Anaerolineaceae
Description: bacterial SSU rRNA
Rfam family: Bacterial small subunit ribosomal RNA
Source: RNAcentral